This is a long non-coding RNA of Drosophila hydei, 382 nucleotides long. RefSeq lists it as uncharacterized. The record is from RefSeq and is a predicted model, not a curated record. The transcript is spliced from 3 exons. Lineage: Eukaryota; Metazoa; Arthropoda; Insecta; Diptera; Drosophilidae.
CUAUGAACUUACAGUCUGGCCAGUUGGAGUCUCUCGUGGGUGGGCAGACUCUCCACGGUCUGCAUCUCGGCGACCAGGAUGAUUGCAGUUGUCGUUGUAGCUGCAACGCUGCAGCCGAGGCAGCUCUCAUGGCAGCAGCGCGUCCACAACUGUUGGCACCUUACAAUUUCCCUUCUCAGCACCGCUGGGUUCAGCUCUCCAACUUUUACAGCUGCCUGCAAUAGAAAGAGAGAGAGAGAGAGAGGAGAGAAAACCAGGUUAAGCCACAAAUCAUAUAAACUUAUUUCCCAGUCGUGCACUGCCCAUAGGAAUAAUGUCAAUUGUUUAUUAGACUCGCAACCCAACAAAGGCGAGUGAACAGGAUUUAAGGCUAUAGCCAAUU